Molecule: unclassified non-coding RNA, 439 nt
Filed under: Hevea brasiliensis (rubber tree)
Lineage: Eukaryota; Viridiplantae; Streptophyta; Magnoliopsida; Malpighiales; Euphorbiaceae
Source: RNAcentral
GUUGAGUUUUCUAGGGUUAGAGAUGAUUAAGCAAAUCUGAGAGACCAAGAAGAAGCAUAUAGGUAGCUCUCAUUAAAAUGAUGGUCGAAGUUAUCUCCUUUGACCGAUAAGACUCUAACACACAAGUAUAGAAGAGCAGACAAGACAAAGAAGCCGAGCAUAGAAGUUUCAAAGAGGGCAAGUUCUUCUUGCUGUUGACCUUGACAUAUCUCUAUAUAUAAGGUGAAUUGGUGAUGAAGAAUGAAAUGUGUUGAUAGAGACCAAGGAAAUUAGGAAAGAAAAGGAGGAGGAGAAAUGGUGGCUGUGAUUUUCCAACAGCAGGAGCCUCCCUCGAAGCUUCUCAAUGAGCUAGCAAGGACUUAGAGGAUUGCCCUUUUCUUCCUUCUGAAUAAAUUCUAUCUUUCCUAUUCUCUGUCUUUCUUGAGAGAGAGAGAGAGAG